Molecule: long non-coding RNA, 900 nt
Organism: Mustela erminea (ermine)
Lineage: Eukaryota; Metazoa; Chordata; Mammalia; Carnivora; Mustelidae
Exons: 5
Source: RefSeq, a predicted model, not a curated record
AGAAAAACCACCUUUUCUCAAGAAGCUCACCAUAUAAUUAUUGGAAAGAAAUCAAGUCAUCAGUGAUGAUAUCAUAGUGACAAGUACAAGGACAUUGAACACAAAAGGCUAUCGCAACACAUGAGAAAAACAAAACAAACCAGUAAGUCCAGCCUUAGAGAGAGUUCUUCUCAGAGAAAGUGACAUCUGUGGGUGAUUUGGUAGAGAACUACUGCAUGCCUUUAAGGGCACAGAUUGAAGCCCAUCUAUCUGGGUUCAAAUCCCAGCAUUACACACCAGAGACAGUUUGCCAACUUCUUGUUUCCAGUGAAGGCUCUCUUUUUAAUGUCAGAAAACCCUUGUGAAAAUUCCACAUGCUGCGUCCAAAAUUUUGCAGGUUUCUCCCAAUGAAAAAUCAACCAGAUCAUCAAAAGACAGAUAUUUUACCCACCCCCUCGGGUUGAAAAUGAUUUUGGAAAAGCAGGAGACAACUGAAAUAAGGAAAAACAAGCUUCCAGAGCAAGGUCCUAACACAACUAGGUGCUGGAGACAGCUAACUUAACUAGGACUACUGAACAGAGAAUUCAAAAAGACCAGGAUAGAAGAAGGCUGUGAUUUCCUGUGCUAUGUGCCUAUGCUACUAGGGAUCAGCUGUCUUUGCCUAGGCCUCUCAUACCACUGUCCACUUUGGUCCAGGACUUCCUGGCAGCCCUCAAGAAACUAGACAUCACGUCAUUGAUGUGUCAUCAAAAGCAGUGCCAGACUUCCUGUUCUCCCUGGGAAGGAUUUAAUGGCUAGGAAGAAUACAUAGAGGAUUCAGCUCCAGUAUAUGCAGACCAGAGAAGCCCCAGAUCCAGGGGCCCAAGAUGUAAAAUCAGCUUUGUGCAAAGAGGAAAAACCACUUCCGAAUUAAACUACUUG